ACCAUCAUUUAAUUCAUUAUGUGCGGCACUUGAAGCAAUUGAAAAGGGUGCAAUAGCUGAACGUAUAAGUGCUAUGUUUGGAGGAAAUUCAUCAGAAGGAAAGAAACCAGCUAAAAAGCCAAAAACUGACUCUCCUACUACAAAAACUGGUGCUGGAAACAAAGAUGGAGGAGCUCAAGCAAGUUCUGGUGAUGAGGAA
This is a long non-coding RNA of Amphimedon queenslandica, 199 nucleotides long. RefSeq lists it as uncharacterized. The record is from RefSeq and is a predicted model, not a curated record. NCBI's taxonomy places the organism in Eukaryota, Metazoa, Porifera, Demospongiae, Haplosclerida, Niphatidae. The transcript has 4 exons.